UGGGGAAUAUUGGACAAUGGGCGAAAGCCUGAUCCAGCCAUGCCGCGUGUGUGAAGAAGGUCUUCGGAUUGUAAAGCACUUUAAGUUGGGAGGAAGGGCCAUUACCUAAUACGUGAUGGUUUUGACGUUACCGACAGAAUAAGCACCGGCUAACUCUGUGCCAGCAGCCGCGGUAAUACGUAGGGUGCGAGCGUUAAUCGGAAUUACUGGGCGUAAAGCGUGCGCAGGCGGUUUGGUAAGACAGAUGUGAAAUCCCCGGGCUUAACCUGGGAAUUGCAUUUGAAACUGGAAAACUAGAGUGUGUGAGAGGGGGGUAGAAUUCCAAGUGUAGCGGUGAAAUGCGUAGAUAUAGGAAGGAACACCAGUGGCGAAGGCGACCACCUGGACUGAUACUGACACUGAGGUGCGAAAGCGUGGGGAGCAAACAGGAUUAGAUACCCCGGUAGUCCCUGAGCGGGCUGGCAAGGCGCAU
RNAcentral lists this ribosomal RNA (472 nucleotides) under uncultured bacterium. RNAcentral's name for it is "bacterial SSU rRNA". It matches the Rfam family "Bacterial small subunit ribosomal RNA", at positions 355 to 825 of the family's 1533-position model. The record is from RNAcentral.